UUGGAGGGCAAGUCUGGUGCCAGCAGCCGCGGUAAUUCCAGCUCCAAUAGCGUAUAUCAAAGUUGUUGCAGUUAAAAAGCUCGUAGUUGAAUUUCGGGAUCAAUAUAUCGGUCGUGCCAUCGGUACGUACUGGUAUGAUUGGUUUCUCCUUUCUGACGAACCAUGAUGUCAUUAAUUUGGUGUUAUGGGAAGUUAGGACUGUUACUUUGAAAAAAUUAGAGUGUUUAAAGCAGGCUUUAGCUUGAAUACAUUAGCAUGGAAUAAUGAAAUAGGACGUUCGAACCUAUUUUGUUGGUUUCUAGGAUCAACGUAAUGAUUAAUAGGGAUAGUUGGGGGCAUUAGUAUUCAAUUGUCAGAGGUGAAAUUCUUGGAUUUAUUGAAGACUAACUACUGCGAAAGCAUUUGCCAAGGAUGUUUUCAUUAAUCAAGAACGAAAGUUAGGGGAUCGAAGACGAUCAGAUACCGUCGUAGUCUUAACCAUAAACUAUGCCGACCAGGGAUCGGAUGAUGUUAAUUUUUUAAUGACUCAUUCGGCGCCUUACGGGAAAC
Molecule: ribosomal RNA, 549 nt
Filed under: uncultured Glomus
Lineage: Eukaryota; Fungi; Glomeromycota; Glomeromycetes; Glomerales; Glomeraceae
Description: SSU rRNA
Rfam family: Eukaryotic small subunit ribosomal RNA
Source: RNAcentral